GAGGGUAUAGCUCAUUGGUAAAGCCUGUGCCUAGCAUGCAAGGGUCCUGGGUUCAAUCCCCAGUACCUCCA
Molecule: transfer RNA, 71 nt
Filed under: Camelus bactrianus (Bactrian camel)
Lineage: Eukaryota; Metazoa; Chordata; Mammalia; Artiodactyla; Camelidae
Also listed under: 1 other name
Rfam family: tRNA
About the family: Transfer RNA (tRNA) molecules are approximately 80 nucleotides in length. Their secondary structure includes four short double-helical elements and three loops (D, anti-codon, and T loops).
Source: Rfam by way of RNAcentral